Molecule: transfer RNA, 72 nt
Filed under: Dipodomys ordii (Ord's kangaroo rat)
Lineage: Eukaryota; Metazoa; Chordata; Mammalia; Rodentia; Heteromyidae
Rfam family: tRNA
About the family: Transfer RNA (tRNA) molecules are approximately 80 nucleotides in length. Their secondary structure includes four short double-helical elements and three loops (D, anti-codon, and T loops).
Source: Rfam by way of RNAcentral
AGGGGUAUGUCUCAGUGAUAGAGUACCUGCUUAGGAAGCACAAGGCCCUGAGUUUAAACCCCAGUACUGCCA